UGGCUGCUAAAUUAUAUUUUAAAUCUACUUAUCUGUCAACGGAGAAUUCUGUCAUUUAAUUCCAAGUUUUGAUCCUUCAUGUCGAAAUCAAUCUCUUCGUAUUUUAUUUGUUUUACAGUUACCUAUAUCAUCGGUGGCUGAAGAUAAAUAAGGUAAACAGAUUUUUUUUAUUUUCAUAUUGUAAUAACUAAAAUCUUAUUAAUCAAGUACGGUGUCGGUGUGAG
RNAcentral lists this long non-coding RNA (224 nucleotides) under Mytilus galloprovincialis (Mediterranean mussel). The record is from RNAcentral. Lineage: Eukaryota; Metazoa; Mollusca; Bivalvia; Mytilida; Mytilidae.